GCUUGCUGUCCGUCAGCAGCCUCCCUUACAAUCUUUUUUUCUCUCUCUCCCUUUUUUUCUUGCCUUCUCCUUCUUCACUGAAGCCUAGGGGAGCCAGCAAAGAUUAAAUGUGCUUUCUCAAAGGCAGCCACUUCAUGCUGCUAUGUCGAAAGGGCCAUUAUUAUUAUUAUUUUUAAUAGUAAAAGAAAACGGGAGAGAGAGGCUGAGACAGAGAGAAGCAAGGUAGGCUGAUGACGGACUAGCUUUUCUGGGAGGAAAAGGAAAGUGAGGGAGAAAGGAGAAACCCUGAACUGAACCGGACGAUCGUGCCUGAGAAGAACCUCCAGAGCAUAAACUACAGAGUCACAGUCUCUAGAUUUGGUGUAGCGCUUCCUGCCCCCGCCUCCCCUCCCCGCCCCGUGGUCGGUCCUCUAUUGAAACACCUCGCCCAGGCUAGCGCACUGCGAGCUCGCAUUUCCCCCCCUUGCUCGGAAUGGUGUCACGGGAGGCUGCAGCCCCGCUCCGCUUCCAAAGGUUGUGUUGACGUUCCUUUCAGCUGGUCCUCUAGCCCCCCUCCUCAGGAAGGUCUCCCCAGUGAAAGGAUGUAAACGGCACUGGACACAGCUAUACUGGGGGAUGCUCAAGUCAACUAUGAAGUUGAAACAAAGGAAAUGAUCACCUGAAGACACCUCUUCUGCUAAGCAUCACCCCCAAAGGAUGCAGUUUCAGGCAAUAGAGCUCCCAGAAUACGAGGCAAUCUUUUCAAGAAACAGAAAAAACUUCCCAGUGACAUCUAGAUUUCUAAAGAGCCAAGGACUUCCCCUUCCUCAUGUGUAUUCCUCUGUUUGUAUUUUACUUCAGUGGGACACUCAUUUCUAAAAUAUCUGCCUGGUAUGGAUAUGCUUAUUAAUGCACCAAUUUUUAAAAUAGAAAAUUGAACAAAUGUGUUCAUGUUUUAAGGAACAAAAUUAAUGCUAUAAGUAGGUUGAUUUCUAGCCCACACACGGUUUGAUCUGAAGAGUGACUUAAAGGAAUAUAAAGUACUUUUGAAAUAACAAGGUAGUCAGAGGCAACCCAAAGGCUAAAAUAACGGUGGAAACUCAUAAAGCAGCUGAAAAAUACCACCGUAUCCCACCUGACACCAACCAAUUAACUAUUCUUUUAAUCAAGCAAGAUAGGUUCCGAAGACAUGGUCAUUGCUUCUAAAGAGUGUAAAUCCAGUUCUACAGGGAUACAUAAACUUUUGAAAAGAUCGUAACAAAUCAGGUCUAUAGAUGUUAAGAACACAACAAAACAAAAUAUAUAAAGAAAGAGCUUGGAGGAAGUCACCAUUAUCUGGCAAAACUAGUCUGUUUAGGGAACAGAGUUCCCAAAGGAGGAAAAUAAAAGAUGAAUCUUAAAGAAUGCUGAAGAUUUA
Molecule: long non-coding RNA, 1396 nt
Filed under: Neogale vison (American mink)
Lineage: Eukaryota; Metazoa; Chordata; Mammalia; Carnivora; Mustelidae
Description: Neovison vison (American mink) lncRNA (ENSNVIG00000001187.1)
Source: RNAcentral